UACAGAGACUGCAAGCGUUAUUCGGAUUCACUGGGCGUAAAGGGUGCGCAGGCGGUCGGGUGUGUCAGAUGUGAAAUCCCGAGGCUCAACCGGGGAACUGCGUCUGAUACUGGCGGGCUUGAAUUCGGGAGAGGGAUGUGGAAUUCCAGGUGUAGCGGUGAAAUGCGUAGAUAUCUGGAGGAACACCGGUGGCGAAGGCGGCAUCCUGGACCGACAUUGACGCUGAGGCGCGAAAGCCAGGGGAGCAAACGGG
This 253-nucleotide ribosomal RNA is filed under the name uncultured bacterium. Its description in RNAcentral is "partial 16S ribosomal RNA". It matches the Rfam family "Bacterial small subunit ribosomal RNA", at positions 524 to 776 of the family's 1533-position model. The record is from RNAcentral.